GACGAACGCUGGCGGCGCGCCUAACACAUGCAAGUCGAACGAGCGAGAGAGAGCUUGCUUUCUUGAGCGAGUGGCGAACGGGUGAGUAACGCGUGAGGAACCUGCCUCAAAGAGGGGGACAACAGUUGGAAACGACUGCUAAUACCGCAUAAGCCCACGGUGCCGCAUGGCACAGAGGGAAAAGGAGCAAUCCGCUUUGAGAUGGCCUCGCGUCCGAUUAGCUAGUUGGUGAGGUAACGGCCCACCAAGGCGACGAUCGGUAGCCGGACUGAGAGGUUGAACGGCCACAUUGGGACUGAGACACGGCCCAGACUCCUACGGGAGGCAGCAGUGGGGAAUAUUGCACAAUGGGGGAAACCCUGAUGCAGCGACGCCGCGUGGAGGAAGAAGGUCUUCGGAUUGUAAACUCCUGUUGUUGGGGAAUAUAAUGACGGUACCCAACAAGGAAGAGACGGCUAACUACGUG
Molecule: ribosomal RNA, 466 nt
Filed under: uncultured bacterium
Lineage: Bacteria
Description: partial 16S ribosomal RNA
Rfam family: Bacterial small subunit ribosomal RNA
Source: RNAcentral